AGAUGAUAGAUAGAGAGUAAUCUAGUAAAUACUACAAGCUGACUGCAGCAUGAUUUCCUCAUUCCCUCCAGCUAAACAGUAAAUGUAAUGCUGCCUCUUAUAUCUAAGGGGGGAAAGGCUCAUUACCAGCCGUGUGAGGACAUGCUGAUGUGCAGGGGUUAAUCCAAGUACUCCCUGUCCUGACUGAGUUCUGAGCAAGUUCAGCACAACAGUGCUAAGCGACAAACUGAAAAUAGAUAAGGACUCUGAGGCCUUUGUUAAGGCAACAGGGGCAAGCUGGAGAGCAAAGAGGGAACUUGGAAGUGCAAUGGAAGCACUUGCAGCAUCAAAAAGACAAUACAGGCACCUAUGGUGACCUAAGGCUUCAAGUCUGGGGAAACCAGUAGCAGCACCAUCCUCAACACUAUGGCAGUAGGAGCAACCAUCACAGGUGUUCCCAAACCUGUCAGUCUACUGGCCUAUGGAUACCUAUUAUAGUGGGCACAGUCAAGCCCAUGGCAGCCACAAUCUCCACGUCAGUGGGGAUGGAGACUCAGACAAGAUGGGAAUAACUAAGGCAGAGUGAGAGGAAAUUACAGAGGAGGCAUCAUGUGAGAAUGGACAUCUGAAUCGAGACAAUCAUCAGUUUGUUUUGACUGUCAAAGAAGUGGACAAAAGAAACAGGACAGGGAGAGGGAGGAGACACCUAGGCACUGAAGGAUGAGCCCAACGAGCAUGCCUUCCUCUUCCCUUGUGAAAUAGCAUAGUUUUAAGGAGGCCUAGAGAAUUCUACAAGAGAAGGUGUAUACCAAUACUAUCAAAGGGAGUUGAUGAGGAAACCAUGAUGAGGGACUAUCUUAUGGGUGAGCCCACCUGAUACCCAGCGAUGCCCUGACUAGGUACAGAGAAGGUAGUUAAGACAUCUCAGGGAUAGGUGGUGGUGUAAGUAGGUAAGACUAACUUGACUAUGUCCUAGGGACUGUUACAUAUUAAAAUAUUACCUCUAGAUCAUGGGAGUUCCCUAGUGGUCACUCACACUCAACAAGUCUAAGGAAUAGAAUGAUUUAGCUUUAAUGGGAAAAA
Molecule: long non-coding RNA, 1062 nt
Organism: Alosa sapidissima (American shad)
Lineage: Eukaryota; Metazoa; Chordata; Actinopteri; Clupeiformes; Clupeidae
Exons: 2
Source: RefSeq, a predicted model, not a curated record